Molecule: unclassified non-coding RNA, 1277 nt
Filed under: Hevea brasiliensis (rubber tree)
Lineage: Eukaryota; Viridiplantae; Streptophyta; Magnoliopsida; Malpighiales; Euphorbiaceae
Source: RNAcentral
GAAAAAUCUCUUCAAAAUAAAAGUCCAUAUAAAUUCAAGUGCCAAAUAUCUCUUCAAAAUAAAAAUCCAUAUAAAUUCAAGUGCCAUCAAAAAUCGACCCAAGACCCUAAUAACAUAUAAAGUCUUUGGAGAACUUUUCCUCCUUGAUACAAUCGAGAUCCUAUGGAAAGGAUAACGUUGUCCACUUCAACCUAGCGCAGCCACUUCUAGCAUUGAUAGAAAUAGAUACUUCCCAUGAUAAAUGAUAAGACAAUCACAAUAAACUGUUGAUUGUCAAGUAGACUUGGGUCUAUCCAAUGUUGAGAUUGGAGGUACUUUUCUAAAUUACACGCAAACACCUGAAUGGCAGCAUGAAUAUAAAAUGUGUGCCAAUCUAGUUGUGGUGCCCAAACACUGAUUUAUAUCCAAUGGUGAGAAGUUUGGUUGGGAGCUUGACUAAGGUUUAGCAUUGAAUUGUUUUGAUAUUUCUUUAACUUGUGAAUUUUCAGGUUUUUUUUUUUAUUUUGCGGAGGGCCAUUGUUGUCAUUUCCCUCUUUGGGGUUUAUUUCUUAGUCUUUGUUGGUCUAAGGGAAAAAAUUAAUCCUUUUGAUUUUCUAGGGGAGUCUAAACCCUUAGAGGAUUAGGACUAGUUUUACGAGUCGAAGAGUCCAAUCACUUAAAGGUUUGGAGUUGCAUUGAACCCAGUUUUCCUCAAUUUCACAAGUAAAUUUUGAUAUAAUUCAUGUAAGAACUCUGUUCCGUCAAACUGUAAGCAAAUAUCAUCAUUUUUGUAAAUUUCCCCAGAACUCUGUUAAUGGUACUAUUCACAGUGGCCAAACCUGUGCUGCAAACAAGCCCUAAAACUUCUUCUUUUUUGAGAGGAAGGAAAUGAUGAAAAUGUAUUUGGACUCUGCAUGAUCGAAGAAAUAUAACUAGCCCUUAUCCAACGUAUAUCUCUGAGAUGCUUCCCAUAUUUACUUUACAUUUAUUGGGACAUUUCAGGCAAAGGAGUUUAAACAUGCUCCUAUCGGCAUUGUUUCAGUAAUUGUCAAAAUGAUCAAUUUCAAUAAACAGUGGAAUGUUAAAUAAUUUUUUAGAUGUCUGUAGUUUUAGACUGGUUUUUUGACACUAUGGCACCAUAAGGGCUUUUGUAGAGGCACUAACUUGAGUUCUCAAUAAAUUGUGAGGAGCACCCACACGCUUAGCCUAAUGGUAAGUUUAUAUCUCAACAUGAGCAAGGUUCCAAGUCUGAGCCCCCCAUCUUUGUAAACCAAAAUCUUUUUUCAGAAAAAAAAAAU